RNAcentral lists this transfer RNA (63 nucleotides) under Myrmecophilus sp. Its description in RNAcentral is "tRNA-Gly". Lineage: Eukaryota; Metazoa; Arthropoda; Insecta; Orthoptera; Myrmecophilidae. The record is from RNAcentral.
UUCUUAAUUUGAUAAACAAUCUAUCUGGUUGGAAGUCAGGCGUACUAAAUAUACUAAUUAAGA